Molecule: non-coding RNA, 1717 nt
Organism: Cricetulus griseus (Chinese hamster)
Lineage: Eukaryota; Metazoa; Chordata; Mammalia; Rodentia; Cricetidae
Source: RefSeq, a predicted model, not a curated record
GUGCGUGCGUGCGUGCGUGCGUGCGUGCGUGCGUGCGUGCGUGCGUGUGUGUGUGUCAUAUGCCCACAUGAAGAAACAAGAGGGGGGAACCUCAAGUGUCUACCUCCAUUCCUCUCUGCCAUUUUGCCUUGAGACAAGGUCUCUAACUGAACUGGAGGCUCACCAUUUUGGCUAGGCUGACUAGCCAGCGAGAUACUGGGGUCUGCCCAUCUCCAUCACAGAGUAUUGGGGUCACAGGCAAGAGAUGAUUAGGGCUAAUGGUCAGCUUGGCAAAUUCCAGAAUGACCCAGGAUAUGGGCCUCUGAGCAUGCCUGGGAGAGACUAUCUUGAUUCUGUUGACGUGGGAAGGCCUGUCAACUGUGAAGAGCACCAUUCCCUGACUAGGGUCCUAGGUUGUCUGGAUGGAAAAGGAAAUUGAGGAAAGACCUUUUUUUAUUCUUCUUUUGAGUGUACACACAAUGUUACCAGCCGCUUCGAGCUCCCGGUGGCUUGAUUUCCCCGUCAAGAUUGAUCAGAGACUAAAAUAAACCUUUCCCCCUCAAGCUUCUUUUGUUUGAGUAUUUCAUCACAACAAAGGUUUAAAAAAAAAAAAUCUUGUACAGAGUGCAAGUAGCUAUGUCUGAACUUUUUAAUGUGGUUCCUGGGGAUUCAAACUGAUGUCCUCAUGCUUGAUACACAAGUACUCUUACCCACUGAGCCACCUACCCAACUCCCUCCACGCUGCUGUCUUUAUGGUGGGUGCAUGCUGAAAACUAUAAAGUCCUUGUGACAGAAUGAAUAAAACAACCCUGCCCCAGAAGUUCCCACGUCCUGAUUUCUGGGACCUGCAAAUGGUGGCUCAAACACGGGCUACCUGAGCUCGGGAAGAUUUACAGGACACAAGGUUACUUUGGUUCCAGGGUCUGGAAGUUGAAGAAGAUGGUCCAGGACACAAUGGAAGAUAGAAGGGCAGUAGACUCGUGCAGCCAGCAUGCUCAGAAGCGGCAAAGCAGGAGGGGCAACCUUGCGUUACAAUAACUUGAUCUCAACAUGGGAGCACUUAGAAGGUGUCCCAUGACCUAAUCACCACUCCCCAAGGUUCUGGCUUCUCAACGAUACCACACAGGAAUCAAACUUCAACAUGAGUCAAGGAAGACAAAGAUUGCAGUGACAGGGCUUUCACUGUAAGUCUGGCUGUCUUAGAGCUCACUCUGGAGACCAAGCUGGCUUCAAACUUACAGAGAUCUACCUGUCUCUGCCUCCAGUGCUGGAAUUAAAGGUGUGCAUCACCAUUGCUUGAUGGAAUCUACUUAUAUUAUCCCAAUGUUUGGGUUGAGAAAACUGAAACCACCAAAGAAUGGUCACUCAUCACAGCCUCGGCAGAUCCAGACAAUUCAGGAGGAGUUCAUGGGAUCCCGGCCUCCAUAAUGAGAACAAACACAGACAGAACAGCAUGUCACACAAGGGGAAACAGGCCUCAAGAAAGAGAGAUCCAAGUCAAUCAACGCUGGCCUGGGCCUAAAGCUUGUGCUCUUGGCUUUGAGAGAAAGAAGAAAAGCAAGAUGCAGGAAAGAUCCCCAAGCAACCAUCUCUGGUGGGCCGAGGAUGGUCCUCCAGAGAGCUAUGCACAGGCUCUGGGUUUCUCUCCUGUCCAGUCAAGGACACUGCUUGAAAUUUAAGGAAGGGGAAGAGAAGUUUCUUCUUAAACGCUAGAAAUAAAUGCCAGUAGACAUAAUGA